RNAcentral lists this ribosomal RNA (250 nucleotides) under uncultured bacterium. RNAcentral describes it as "partial 16S ribosomal RNA". It matches the Rfam family "Bacterial small subunit ribosomal RNA", at positions 524 to 773 of the family's 1533-position model. The record is from RNAcentral.
UACGGAGGGUGCAAGCGUUGUUCGGAAUCACUGGGCGUAAAGCGCGUGUAGGCGGCCUUUUAAGUCUGAUGUGAAAGCCCGGGGCUUACCCCCGGAAGUGCAUUGGAGACUGGGAGGCUCGAGUACCGGAGAGGAGGGUGGAAUUCCUGGUGUAGCGGUGAAAUGCGUAGAUAUCAGGAGGAACACCGGUGGCGAAGGCGGCCCUCUGGACGGAUACUGACGCUGAGACGCGAAAGCGUGGGGAGCAAAC